Bubalus bubalis (water buffalo) is the source of this 306-nucleotide long non-coding RNA. RefSeq lists it as uncharacterized. Lineage: Eukaryota; Metazoa; Chordata; Mammalia; Artiodactyla; Bovidae. The record is from RefSeq and is a predicted model, not a curated record. The transcript has 2 exons.
GUCUCAUCCCAGCUAAGCGCCCCAUUAUCUUAAGCAGUCACUCUGGGAACUCCUGAUGCAAGGAGUCAAUAGAUCAUACUUGAAGAAACUGUUCUCACCUCCACCUUCUGAAGCCCCCUGUUGACUGGACCGUUCUGUGUGGAUGCAGAGGUGGUGUGUUUUUCCCUAUAUGCGCUCUAGCUGAUGAGGACGCUGCCUACUUUGCAGAUGGAUGUGAAGAACACGAGAUAAAAACUCCAGAAAAUAUAUUUAAGCACUACACUCUGUUAUUAUUAUAUGCAAAUAAAACUAAGUAUAUAUACUCAA